Molecule: ribosomal RNA, 485 nt
Filed under: uncultured bacterium
Lineage: Bacteria
Description: bacterial SSU rRNA
Rfam family: Bacterial small subunit ribosomal RNA
Source: RNAcentral
GUUUGAUCCUGGCUCAGGAUGAACGCUAGCGGCAGGCUUAAUACAUGCAAGUCAAGGGGGUAGCAAUACAACCGGCGCACGGGUGAGUAACACGUACACAACAUACCAUAUACUGAGGUAUAGCUUCGGGAAACUGAAGGUAAUCCCUCAUAGUAUUGUGAAAGGGCAUCUUUUUACAAUUAAAGUUUCGACGGUAUAUGAUUGGUGUGCGUUUGAUUAGCUAGUUGGUAGGGUAACGGCCUACCAAGGCAACGAUCAAUAGCUGGCGUGAGAGCGCGACCAGCCACACUGGAACUGAGACACGGUCCAGACUCCUACGGGAGGCAGCAGUAGGGAAUAUUGGACAAUGGGCGAAAGUCUGAUCCAGCCAUGCCGCGUGAUAGAUGAAGGCCCUCUGGGUUGUAAAUAUCUUUUAUCUGGGAAGAAACACUUCUAUUCUUAGAAGCUUGACGGUACCAGAGGAAUAAGCACCGGCUAACUCCGUG